This 18-nucleotide small nuclear RNA is filed under the name Arabidopsis thaliana (thale cress). RNAcentral's name for it is "snRNA_02584". The record is from RNAcentral. Lineage: Eukaryota; Viridiplantae; Streptophyta; Magnoliopsida; Brassicales; Brassicaceae.
GAUUGGACCAUCACUUUU